RNAcentral lists this ribosomal RNA (87 nucleotides) under Paeonia delavayi (Delavay's tree peony). Its description in RNAcentral is "partial 5.8S ribosomal RNA". It matches the Rfam family "5.8S ribosomal RNA", at positions 73 to 154 of the family's 154-position model. From Rfam's summary of the family: 5.8S ribosomal RNA (5.8S rRNA) is a component of the large subunit of the eukaryotic ribosome. The record is from RNAcentral. Lineage: Eukaryota; Viridiplantae; Streptophyta; Magnoliopsida; Saxifragales; Paeoniaceae.
UGCAGAAUCCCGUGAAUCACCGAGUCUUUGAACGCAAGUUGCGCCCAAAGCCUUUAGGCUGAGGGCACGUCUGCCUGGGCGUCACGU